AAUUCUCAACCAUACCAACUUUGUUGGUUUUGGCUUGGACGUGGGGGAUUGUUUGCAGGCUUUCACAAGUCAGCUCCCCUGAAAUGCAUUAGCGGUGCCCUUUGUGGUCGUUACAGCUCUUGGUGUGAUAACUAUCUACGCCAUCAGUUGACCAUGGUUGUGCUGCUUCUAACGGUCUUCUUCAAUGAGACAACACAUGACAA
Molecule: unclassified non-coding RNA, 203 nt
Filed under: Crepidotus applanatus
Lineage: Eukaryota; Fungi; Basidiomycota; Agaricomycetes; Agaricales; Crepidotaceae
Description: partial internal transcribed spacer 2
Source: RNAcentral